GCGGGCGUAGCUUAGUGGCAAAGCACUAGGUUUCCACCCUAGGUACGCGAGUUCGAUUCUCGCCGCCCGCU
This 71-nucleotide transfer RNA is filed under the name Actinomycetota bacterium. Its description in RNAcentral is "tRNA-Gly". It matches the Rfam family "tRNA". From Rfam's summary of the family: Transfer RNA (tRNA) molecules are approximately 80 nucleotides in length. Their secondary structure includes four short double-helical elements and three loops (D, anti-codon, and T loops). The record is from RNAcentral. Lineage: Bacteria; Bacillati; Actinomycetota.